AGGAAAAAGGAAACUGCUAGAACGAGGAGAGAGAUACGAACGGAGGAAAAGAAGAAAAAGGAUGAAAAAAGAAAGAGAAAGGAAGAUAAGGAGACAAAAGAGGAAGAGAAAAGGCAAAGAGAAAGAAAGAAAAGAGGAAGAGACAAGGGAAAAGAAAAAAAGGAGCCGCUAGAACGCGUCGACUCGGUUUGUUUACGUUUUGCCGCGGGGAGCUGCACGUGUGGGCGGCGUUCAAAAAGAUUUACGUUUAUUUCACGUUCCUGACCUCGCCCGCCUAUAAAAGGCGGGCGUGACAUCGGAGUUACCACAGUGUGCCUUCCCCAGGUCCUCGUUGCUCCAGGGCGUAGCUCCGUUACCCUGGGGGGCCUAUGGGGGUGCGGGGUACAGGCACCCAUCGCUCCGGGACACCUUGCCUCAGUGCUCAUCUCUGUCAAAUUAAAGACUCAAGAGCUGUGUGAAGAAGCUGAGCAGCGUCUCCCUGGCCUGGGCGUGGAGUGAGCUGGUCCCCUCAUCACCAGCACCAUAGACCAGGGGAUGAGGUGCUCCUGGCCCUCCGGCACACCCUCCUGGGCGGACCAGAGGAUGUCCACUGUGCUGGUCACUCCACACUCCUAUCAAGGCCGUGCUGGACAGGCUCAGUGACGACUCAGACACGUCAAAUAUCUUCCCUCAGAGGCACUGACAGGCUUCUACAGUGGUAGGGCUGAAACGACACAUCCUGGCGGGGGGCACCUUUGACAGCCCAGGACACACCUCCGCCCCCGCCAGCAACCUCAUCACCCGACUGCUAGUUCAGGACCCAGUGCAGUGGUCCAACUCAGAAGAGAUUGCUGCCACGAGUACCUGGCUAGUGCCCCCCCUCUUAUGUACUAGCCCUGACCUUCAGCGACGACCCCGACCCCAUGGAGGCUGUUCAAGGUGGUGGAGACCCUGUUGCAUGUUCAUCUGGUGGUGGAAUUCCCUGGCGGCGGCGGCGGCGAGCUGUUCAACACCAUCACCACGGAGCGACGCAUGACGGAGGCACGGGCAGCGGCAGUCUUCACACAGGUGCUGUCUGCCAUAGCCUGCCGUGUGUGUGUGUGUGUGUGUGUGUGUAUUUACCUAGUUGUGAAAUACAGGAAAAGAACUGUACUAGGCUCGUGCUGUCCCGUCUCCAUAACA
Molecule: long non-coding RNA, 1161 nt
Organism: Eriocheir sinensis (Chinese mitten crab)
Lineage: Eukaryota; Metazoa; Arthropoda; Malacostraca; Decapoda; Varunidae
Exons: 6
Source: RefSeq, a predicted model, not a curated record